Molecule: long non-coding RNA, 1716 nt
Organism: Vigna unguiculata (cowpea)
Lineage: Eukaryota; Viridiplantae; Streptophyta; Magnoliopsida; Fabales; Fabaceae
Source: RefSeq, a predicted model, not a curated record
UAACGCGCAAUUCUAUUAUAAUAUAACAUUAGAUUUACAUAAUGGCAUUAAUAGGAAGCCCACCGCUCGAACAACCCUAAAAAGUUAUUUAAGGGGGCUUCUCCAUGCAUCCCAACCCUUUUUCUUGUACCCUAAAACUUUUCUUAUUCUCAAUUUUGCCUACAGUUAAAGUUAAAUGUAGAAAGGGAAAAAAUAAUAAAACAAAAUUCAGCCGCACUGCACCCCCUGGACCCAGCAAAUCUGCUUUUAUUGUAAGUCUCUGCACCCAAAAAGGAAUCUUGUUGACCUAACCUAGCAGCAGCACAGCAGCAGAGGCAUUUAAAAUUAGGCUUCUGUUUUUUGCAUUCAUGCCUUCAUUCAUUUUUGCCUUCACCUUGAUGCCUUUUUUGCCUUCACUUAUAUUUCCAUUGACGUUGUUGCCUUGUGGAGUAGAUCUGACCCGCAGCCGUAGAGCACCAACAAGCACCAAGCAGUUCGGCGACGAGGCUUCCAGUUUCACAUUCACAAUCACAACCUUCCCCUUCUGCAUUUAAUCCACCAUCCACACGUCUAAUAUGGUUAGGACACGAAAAAAUUUAUCUACACGCAAUUCACAUGAUGCACCCGAGAGUUCUGCACAGAGUGCUACACGGAAAAGACCGACCACUUCAGCUCGUAGAAGAGGUCAGCACGAGGCUGAUGUUGUUCAGGAUGAUGUUGUUGAGCAUGAGGUUUUCGGUGUUCCUCAGGACGAGGAGUAUGAGAUUGAUAACGAUGGUGCAUGAUUUCCAGGUGAUCCGUCUGAUACAUCUUUAUUGACUCGGUACCAAGAUCAUGUUGCACGGAUCAUAUGGGAUGGUCAGGCUUUGAUAUACGAGCACUUUCAUGCAUUAGGAAGGAAGCAAUUAUGAGAUACAUAUGUGGAGACCAAACCCCAUGCCAGACAUUAUGUAACCAGACGCGCUACUUCCGCUAUAACUGAUGUUAGAGUCCAAUUGGAUGCCUUGACAUAUGAUGGGAUGAUUUGGAACCCAUAUGUAGCACAUAGAGCUGGUCGACCACUUGUUGUUUCUGCCAUGUUUUCUGGCUUCUUGAGGCUUGGUAUCCUUAUACAUCGUCAUCUGUCAGAGCGUGUGCUACUACAAUUUGGCUUCAUGCAGCCUAUUCCACGACCGUCGAGUACAUUUCCCAUGUUGGACUUUGUGACUAUUGAUGAUCAGUGGAGAAACCACGAGCAGUUUGUCGUAGUUCAGGUGGUCCCCCUGCCAACUCCUUUUUCAUGUUCAGAUGGAUAUUUGCAAUGGUUUAGGAGGUUCUCUGAUCCAUACAUUUUACACGGAGUUAAGGUCGACCGACCUAGCCUUGUGAUUAUGCCCCAACGACGUUAGCGUCAUCAUCUUCUCGUGGUUUAUUGGUAUGUUAUAAAUUUAUUUGUUCAUAUUAUUAGUAACUUAAAUAUUUGACAUUAACUUGGUAUUAUCAUAGGGUGUCAUGAAACGCAUUGUCAGCGGUCUUAAGUAGAUGAUAGACUGUAGAGACGUUAGUGAGGGCAUAAUUGCUUAGGAUCGCACGCAUGAGUUAUUGCAGAUAGCUCGUGAUGCGACAAUAACUCGUGAUGCGAGAGAAUAGGAAGAGACUAGAGGAGGACGUAGAGUCUGAGGUCGAUGACCAUUUACGUCUGGAUAGUCGAUUUACUUUAUAUUUAUAUUUGAUGUUACAAUUUACAUUUUUAUUAGA